CUCUCCCAUAGCGGCCCCAAGGUUUGAGCAUUUCCGUAGAAGAACUGAUUGUGUCCAGUAUGGAAGCGUUUAGAUUAACGAUCCAUCAGGGUGCCAUGCCAGACCAUUACAGAAUUAUUUAAAGCAGCCACUUAGAGUUGCUCCAUGAUGCAAGGAAAUGUUAGAACUGACACCGAGAAGAACAGCAAAGAAUGAUCCUGUCUGCAAGGAAUGAUCCUGUGUGCACUGUGUUAUUUACUGUUAGCAGGAUGGCAAAUAUUGUUACUGCCUGUCUGCUCGGACAUUUAUUUAUUCAGGGAUCCUUUAUUUCGCAAAAUCUCUAGGAAGCGAAGAGGGAUUUCCAAAAGCAAGAUUUGCCUUGGCAUAUGUGAGCAAGAAUCCGAUGCUCAAAUUUCCAUCCCUUAAAACAGAUGAAGGGCCAAGGCCUUUGCUGUUGCAAGGCCAAGCUCUCAGAAAUGAAACCACACUGCCAAAAUCAUGGGUUAGCAAAUUAACAACAUGUUUUUACUUGUUUUUCUUGUUCUCCGAGCUUUGAGAUCUUGCCAGCAUUAAGCUGCACAAUUAGAAGGACUGGCAGGCAGCUUCUUUAAACGGGAGUUGAGUUUCUGACCCUUGCCGGGAACAAAACUUCUACCACGACCAUCAGGCACUUGAAUAAGCGACCCUGAAAAAUCACAACCUGCAAGCCUCUUAGCUAAUUCCUUAGUUGAAGACACCGACCUAGAAGAACCGAGAUGCUGGUGGAGAGGCGGAUUCCACCACACAAAACACGAGCAUGAAGAAAAAUGACGGACAGCGGGGAUCACAGACUUCCAUGUCUUUAUUUGCCAUUGAAGAUCCUUUUAUUCCAUCGAUGCAAAUAUGCAGAACAGCAGGAAACCAUGUUUUAAGCAGCACAUACCAGUUGGCUGAGAAUAAACUAGCUACAUUCCUCAAGCAAUGUAAAAGUAACAAUGCACAGCAUCUUCCCGGAGAAGAGACGGACAGGUAUUGCAGCCGAGAGGCACAGCAGGCAGCUUCCGUACAAAGGAGUUUGGCUAUUUAAAAUGCUAGAACCCGCCCUCGUCCGCAUCUCCAAACCCCAACCCCUGUCCCCAAAAGUCCUACUAUAAUUUAAACACUUUUUUUUUCUU
Molecule: long non-coding RNA, 1133 nt
Organism: Nothoprocta perdicaria
Lineage: Eukaryota; Metazoa; Chordata; Aves; Tinamiformes; Tinamidae
Exons: 2
Source: RefSeq, a predicted model, not a curated record